RNAcentral lists this ribosomal RNA (451 nucleotides) under uncultured bacterium. Its description in RNAcentral is "bacterial SSU rRNA". It matches the Rfam family "Bacterial small subunit ribosomal RNA", at positions 28 to 524 of the family's 1533-position model. The record is from RNAcentral.
GAUGAACGCUGGCGGCGUGGAUAAGGCAUGCAAGUCGAGCGCCCCGCAAGGGAGCGGCGAACGAGGUAGUAACACGUUGGUACGUACCCUUUAGUCAGGAAUAACUAGUCGUAAGAUUAGCUAAUACUUGAUAGUCUCUUCGGAGUAAAGAUUUAUCGCUAAAGGAACGGCCUGCGGAGUAUCAGCUAGUUGGUAAGGUAAUGGCUUACCAAGGCUAUGACGCUUAGAGGACCUGAGAGGGUGACCCUCACCGAUGGUACUGAGACACGGACCAUACACCUACGGGUGGCUGCAGUCGAGAAUCUUCCGCAAUGGGCGAAAGCCUGACGGAGCGACGCCGCGUGAUUGAUGAAGUCCCUCUGGGAUGUAAAGAUCUUUUAUAAGGGAGAAAGUUAUUGAUAGUAUCUUAUGAAUAAGGGGUUGCUAAACUCGUGCCAGCAGCCGCGGUAAU